ACAGCAGUCGCCACGGUAAUACAGAGGGUGCGAGCGUUAAUCGGAUUUACUGGGCGUAAAGCGUGCGUAGGCGGCUUUUUAAGUCGGAUGUGAAAUCCCUGAGCUUAACUUAGGAAUUGCAUUCGAUACUGGGAAGCUAGAGUAUGGGAGAGGAUGGUAGAAUUCCAGGUGUAGCGGUGAAAUGCGUAGAGAUCUGGAGGAAUACCGAUGGCGAAGGCAGCCAUCUGGCCUAAUACUGAUGCUGAGGUACGAAAGCAUGGGGAGCAAACAGGAUUAGAUACCCCCGUAGUCCCUGUCUCUUAUAC
Molecule: ribosomal RNA, 305 nt
Filed under: uncultured bacterium
Lineage: Bacteria
Description: partial 16S ribosomal RNA
Rfam family: Bacterial small subunit ribosomal RNA
Source: RNAcentral